Molecule: long non-coding RNA, 535 nt
Organism: Oncorhynchus keta (chum salmon)
Lineage: Eukaryota; Metazoa; Chordata; Actinopteri; Salmoniformes; Salmonidae
Exons: 3
Source: RefSeq, a predicted model, not a curated record
CUCUCCGUCCAGCAGCCUCCUGUACUCAGCGAUCUCCAUCUCCAGGCGUGUCUUGAUGUCCAGCAGCAUCUUGUACUCCUGGCCCUGGCGUUCCAUGUCGCUGCGGAGAGACACUAGCUGCUCCUCCAGACUGGUCACUUGGUUCUGGAGGCGUCCCAACUGCAUGGAGUAACGGCCCUCCGUCUCCGCCAGCGUGUUCUCCAGGGAGCCUUUCUAUUGGCCGAGAGGGAUAGAGAUGAUGGGUCAAAAACUGUGGGAGUUGGUUUUGAAUUUGGUCUUGAAUGUUUACAGUCAUACUGAAAAGUUAGCUCUAGUAAUUGAAUGUGUAGGCAGGUAGAGAUUAGCUAUAGUAAUGGAGUGGUGCCUGGCUAUAGCAACCUGAGGGACAGUAUUAGAGACCAGGUGAAAGUGAGAUUCUUGAGGGAUGGUAGAGAAUGAUGAAAGAGUCAAAUGAUGAUUAUUGAAGAAAGUUGCAGAAGGUUGUGUAAGUAAUGUCCCCGAAGCUGUGGUCCUUGGUCAGAUGUUUGUAAUUAUG